Nicotiana tabacum (common tobacco) is the source of this 1592-nucleotide non-coding RNA. NCBI's taxonomy places the organism in Eukaryota, Viridiplantae, Streptophyta, Magnoliopsida, Solanales, Solanaceae. The record is from RefSeq and is a predicted model, not a curated record.
CUUUGGAGUGCCAUUUUUGAAUCUCAACAGCGCAAAAGUCUUGCAUUUCAAAUCAGUCCAUCAGAUACAGCCAAUUAUUUUUAGCCCAAGACUAUCUUAAUACAUCAGCUAGGUAUUCUUGUCUUCUUUCCCCGAAAAAAAAAAAAACGCUGUUCCUUACCCCGUUCCCUUUUCAAGCAAAGCUUCAGCAUCCUUAACCAUGGUAGAAGCUUGCCUCGCCGAUUUUGACCGUGACAGAUUUUUGAAAUCAUUCCGAUCGAGGUUAGAAUCUUUUCAUAACAGAGAGAGUAGAUUCGAGACUCGACGCUCCAGUUCACUGCCCCACAACAGGUAAUGUCCGACUUUGUUUCUGAUUCUCCUUAGUUUAAAUGUACUAUUUUUACCUUGAAGAAUCAUGUCUUAGACUCUUUUCUGUUGUUGUGAUAAAAUAUGUUAGUAGAAUUUUGACAUGAUGAAUUUAUCAUUUCGUUUGAUUUAACUAUUUGGAAGAGUAAAUCAUGUUUUAACUUAAGCCUUUUCUUGCCCUUUUUAUAAUAAAUAUGUCGUGUAUAUCUUCUGUGUUCCUUUAGUGUAUUAUGCAUUUUUUGUUUAGAUUUUAACUGCUAGAACUAUUAUUUUAGGAGUAGUAUGGAUUCCACAUAAGAGAGGCUCAUGAUUGGUACAAUACUCUGUGUCAGCAUGUAUCUGUGCUAGUUCUGUACUCCCCUCUUAAUUUUAAGUUUAGGUACUACACUGUUAGAAUUGAUAAUAUAAUUUCUUGUAUCAUGUGCCUUCAUGCUAUUUCUAAGAUCCUCUGUAACUGCACUUGUUUUUAUCUCUAAAGUAACUUUGAAAGAGUUUAUAACAUUUCCUUUUCUGCAACUGAGUUAGUUUAAAUCAUAUUUUAGGAUGUUAUUUAAGUCAGGAAGUUAAUAAUAUUUUUCCUAAAGUGAAACAUUGUUUAAGAAACUUCAUGUUGGUAUAAGUUAGUUUUCCUUAUGUUUCUGGUUAUUAGCACAUGUAGAUAUUUGUUCAAGUAUACGUUUACAAUAUAUAAAAUACUGAUUUGUUUAAGUAUGAGCUUUCAAUAUGUGUGUUUCUUCUCUGAUUGUUACGUCCAUUAAGAAGCAUAUGAUUCUUUCUAACCCAUUCUUUUUCUUUCCUUUUCUUUUCCUUGUUUACAUGACAUGACGGAGCUGCUCUCGAGUUCCACUUUGAGACUCUAUGCCACUGUCUAGAACCGAUGUCUACAUUAUCAUCACUCGCCCUCUCUCCGAAAUAAAUCCGAACAGCAAAAAUGGAUAAAGAGGCGCUGAAACAGGAAUUACAGACGAUGUUAUCCUUCUGUUAGGAGCCAAAUGGGGCUGUUUAUGCAUGCUUGAUUGAUGACUAACAUUUUACUGCGUGGUUAUCUUUUAAUUUCAAUUCUGUCGUUUAUUUAAGUUGCGCUAUUAACUUUACAACCAAGUAUUAGUACGUGAUUACUCACUAUGCCUGCAUUUGAUCACAUAGGAUCUUCGCCUCAAGUUAACAAUGAAUUACUGACUCUAAAGAUCAGUCUUUGUUUUAGUUAAAAUGUCAAUAAUAGAUGCUUUGCGUGGUUCGUUUUUUAA